GAUGAAGAACGUAGUGAAAUGCGAUAAGUAAUGUGAAUUGCAGAAUUCAGUGAAUCAUCGAAUCUUUGAACGCACAUUGCGCCCGCCAGCAUUCUGUCGGGCAUGCCUGUUCGAGCGUCAUUUCAACCCUCGAGCCCCCCCGGGGGCCUCGGUGUUGGGGGACGGCACACCAGCCGCCCCCGAAAUGCAGUGGCGACCCCGCCGCAGCCUCCCCUGCGUAGUAGCACACACCUCGCACCGGAGCGCGGAGGCGGUCACGCCGUAAAACGCCCAACUUUCUUAGAGUUGACCUCGGAUCAGGUAGGAAUACCCGCUGAACUUAAGCAUAUCAAUAAGCGGAGGA
RNAcentral lists this unclassified non-coding RNA (343 nucleotides) under soil metagenome. RNAcentral's name for it is "partial contains 5.8S ribosomal RNA, internal transcribed spacer 2, and large subunit ribosomal RNA". The stretch from base 1 to 120 matches the Rfam family "5.8S ribosomal RNA", at positions 35 to 154 of the family's 154-position model. The record is from RNAcentral.